GAUGAACGCUGGCGGCGUGCCUAAUACAUGCAAGUCGAGCGAACGGACGAGAAGCUUGCUUCUCUGAUGUUAGCGGCGGACGGGUGAGUAACACGUGGAUAACCUACCUAUAAGACUGGGAUAACUUCGGGAAACCGUAGCUAAUACCGGAUAAUAUUUUGAACCGCAUGGUUCAAAAGUGAAAGACGGUCUUGCUGUCACUUAUAGAUGGGUCCGCGCUGCAUUAGCUAGUUGGUAAGGUAACGGCUUACCAAGGCAACGAUGCAUAGCCGACCUGAGAGGGUGAUCGGCCACACUGGAACUGAGACACGGUCCAGACUCCUACGGGAGGCAGCAGUAGGGAAUCUUCCGCAAAGGGCGAAAGCCUGACGGAGCAACGCCGCGUGAGUGAUGAAGGUCUUCGGAUCGUAAAACUCUGUUAUUAGGGAAGAACAUAUGUGUAAGUAACUGUGCACAUCUUGACGGUACCUAAUCAGAAAGCCACGGCUAACUACGUG
This 497-nucleotide ribosomal RNA is filed under the name uncultured bacterium. Its description in RNAcentral is "partial 16S ribosomal RNA". It matches the Rfam family "Bacterial small subunit ribosomal RNA", at positions 28 to 507 of the family's 1533-position model. The record is from RNAcentral.